AGUUUCAACUGCUGUUGCCACAGCUGCCUUCAGAGUGCUCCAGUUUGAAUACAGAGACAUUCUUCUGAGACAACUCUUUUAAAUGUUAAAGAAGAAUUUGAUGCAACAAGAAGUAUACCUAAAGCUAUAUGCUUACCUUUUGGGUCAUUUAUGCCAACGAUAAAAUGGGUGAUGAUCAGAAUGUUUGUGCAUAAAAUCUUUUUUGAACAUCUGAUGCUUUGCACAUGCAAUCUUCAAGCUCAAUCAGACAUGCAACUGUGUAUACAAAAUCCUGUUGCAAAUUGCAUUCAACCGCUUAAAUAGCUCUUUGGAAAACAACUUCUGUUUAUUUUCAGGCAUGACCUUCAGUCUGUAAUACGGGAUCCACUACAAGUCUUUGGGAGGUGUUAUUACAGGAUUUUGACUGGAAAGCGAUUCUUGUUCCAAAUAGACUCUCCGUGGUGGUGAACAAGCAGAAGUUUGUAAGGGGCUGUGAAGAUAAUACUUCUUGGGUGUGAAGAGCUAUCAUGUUCAUAAUGGAUUCAACUGCAGGAACCUAAUACAUGGACAUGCAUUUUAACUGCUGCUUUUAUUAUCUCCUUUAAAAAAUUAGUUCUGUGAAAUUCCCUUGCCAGUUUUGCUUGAAAACUCUUCUUUUAGUUUUCUAUGUAAUAUAGUCUUGUAGCCCACAUCUCAGAAACCCAGACCUUCCAACUAUGUCUUGUGCAUUUUGUUCUCAUUUUCUUUUGAUUUCUUGAGGCCAGCUGAGGUCUACAUAGAUGUCACAUUCCUUGCUAUUUCUUGGUAGCCUGUGCCAUUAACAAUUAAAUUUAGUGAUCAAUGGCUUCAAAGUAAAGCACACUGUAUGUGAUUAUGACACAUUACAAUUAUGCUCUUGAAAUAUCUAGUGCUAUUAUCAGAAAUGACUGAAAAUAUUCCCUUCUUCCUAAAUUAACUGAAGACUUUAUGUUCAUGUGACUCUCAUAAGAUUUGAGCAUAUAUAUUAUAUAAUUAUCUAUUAUUUGCUAAUUAGACUCUUUCAUUCUAUUGUAAAGAAGAAGAAUGUCCUCCAAACAACCCGUUAUAACUUUCUGACAGUUGGUGCCAGAUGAGACUAAAAAUACAGUUUAAUAGAGAAUAUUAUUUUAUUCACUUUACAUGUUAUGAAAUACUUCUUCAAUAACUUUUUGUUGGUUUCUCAAAGGCAAUAUCCCAUGUGUAUGAACAGGUAAUCCAAGUGUACAAUUCCUUUGUAACAAAAAAGUUGAAUUUUUGUAAAAAGUGGGAAACAUUUCCUUCCAGUCCUCUCAGGUAUCAGAAUCACAGACUUCAGUCAAAGAGAGAGGAUAGGGCAGGACUCUUCUUGUUUCCACAAAUUUUCAGAGUAAUGCUUGAAGCAUGUGGCUUUGGGCUUCUGCUGCUUUAAAUGGCCCAGCGGCUUUCCAACCAAACCCUUAGAUUCAAUCUAUUGGUGUGUUUGUCUAAUAAGUUCUUUUGUAACUUAAAAAAAAAAUCUCUGGUGGAAGACACUAACAUGUUUACCAUACUUUCACAUUAAUAAAAGGGUAUAUUAGAUCCUUCUAACCAGACAGCUGGACAAAUUUGCCUUCAUGUCUCUAUUUUUAUCAUGUUCUCUACAUUAGUCAGGUUGGGCUAAGUUAUGCUGUGGGAACAAUUUAUUUCAGAAUCUCAGCAGCUUAUUGAAUUUUAUUUUCAUUUACAUAAGGUCCACUGUUGGUCUGGAAAAUUCUUCAGGGCAGCUUUCCUGAAGGUGAGGGGCUUAUUAUUCCAUACUGCUUCACUCUUACAGCAUCUGUAUUUGCAUAUGUUUCUAUGAUUCUGUGGAAAAGGAAACUUCAAAGUCAUGC
This 1847-nucleotide long non-coding RNA is filed under the name Homo sapiens (human). Its description in RNAcentral is "HSALNT0408462". Lineage: Eukaryota; Metazoa; Chordata; Mammalia; Primates; Hominidae. The record is from RNAcentral.